This 440-nucleotide long non-coding RNA is filed under the name Brassica napus (rape). RNAcentral's name for it is "long non-coding RNA (BNAP_LNC016077)". Lineage: Eukaryota; Viridiplantae; Streptophyta; Magnoliopsida; Brassicales; Brassicaceae. The record is from RNAcentral.
GGUUUAGGGUUUAGUGUUGAUAGUUUAGGGUUUAGUGUUGAUGGUAUAGGAUUUAGAGUUGAAGUUUAGGCUUUAGGGUUUAGAGUUGAUGUUUUAGGGUUUAGAGUUGUUUGUUUAGGGUUUAGGGUUUAGAGUUGAUGUUUUGGGGUUUAGGGUUUAGAGUUGAUGUUUUAGGGUUUAGGGUUCGUAUUUCAAAAAAAAAAAGGUUUAUGUUUGAUGGUUUAGGGUUUAGGGUUCGUAUUUCAAACAAAAAAUAGGGUUUAUGAUUGAUGAUUUAGGGUUUAGAGUUGAGUUUUUGGGUUUAGGGUUUCAAUUUCGAAAUAGUAUAAUUCGAAAAAAAUUAAAGAAAUUAUUUUUUAUUUUUUCAGAAUUUUAUUUAUUUAAAUAUUUAUUUACUAUAUAUAAAAAACAAGUGCAUAUGAGUCUUUUGCCACUUAAUG